RNAcentral lists this ribosomal RNA (1435 nucleotides) under uncultured organism. Its description in RNAcentral is "16S ribosomal RNA". It matches the Rfam family "Bacterial small subunit ribosomal RNA". The record is from RNAcentral.
CGCUGGCGGCGUGCUUAACACAUGCAAGUCGAACGGAAAGGCCCUGCUUUUGUGGGGUGCUCGAGUGGCGAACGGGUGAGUAACACGUGAGUAACCUGCCCUUGACUUUGGGAUAACUUCAGGAAACUGGGGCUAAUACCGGAUAGGAGCUCCUGCUGCAUGGUGGGGGUUGGAAAGUUUCGGCGGUUGGGGAUGGACUCGCGGCUUAUCAGCUUGUUGGUGGGGUAGUGGCUUACCAAGGCUUUGACGGGUAGCCGGCCUGAGAGGGUGACCGGCCACAUUGGGACUGAGAUACGGCCCAGACUCCUACGGGAGGCAGCAGUGGGGAAUAUUGCACAAUGGGCGGAAGCCUGAUGCAGCAACGCCGCGUGCGGGAUGACGGCCUUCGGGUUGUAAACCGCUUUCGCCUGUGAUGAAGCGUGAGUGACGGUAAUGGGUAAAGAAGCACCGGCUAACUACGUGCCAGCAGCCGCGGUGAUACGUAGGGUGCGAGCGUUGUCCGGAUUUAUUGGGCGUAAAGGGCUCGUAGGUGGUUGAUCGCGUCGGAAGUGUAAUCUUGGGGCUUAACCCUGAGCGUGCUUUCGAUACGGGUUGACUUGAGGAAGGUAGGGGAGAAUGGAAUUCCUGGUGGAGCGGUGGAAUGCGCAGAUAUCAGGAGGAACACCAGUGGCGAAGGCGGUUCUCUGGGCCUUUCCUGACGCUGAGGAGCGAAAGCGUGGGGAGCGAACAGGCUUAGAUACCCUGGUAGUCCACGCUGUAAACGGUGGGUACUAGGUGUGGGGUCCAUUCCACGGGUUCCGUGCCGUAGCUAACGCUUUAAGUACCCCGCCUGGGGAGUACGGCCGCAAGGCUAAAACUCAAAGGAAUUGACGGGGCCCCGCACAAGCGGCGGAGCAUGCGGAUUAAUUCGAUGCAACGCGUAGAACCUUACCUGGGUUUGACAUGGAUCGGGAGUGCUCAGAGAUGGGUGUGCCUCUUUUGGGGUCGGUUCACAGGUGGUGCAUGGCUGUCGUCAGCUCGUGUCGUGAGAUGUUGGGUUAAGUCCCGCAACGAGCGCAACCCUUGUUCACUGUUGCCAGCACGUUAUGGUGGGGACUCAGUGGAGACCGCCGGGGUCAACUCGGAGGAAGGUGGGGAUGACGUCAAGUCAUCAUGCCCCUUAUGUCCAGGGCUUCACGCAUGCUACAAUGGCUGGUACAGAGAGUGGCGAGCCUGUGAGGGUGAGCGAAUCUCGGAAAGCCGGUCUCAGUUCGGAUUGGGGUCUGCAACUCGACCUCAUGAAGUCGGAGUCGCUAGUAAUCGCAGAUCAGCAACGCUGCGGUGAAUACGUUCCCGGGGCUUGUACACACCGCCCGUCAAGUCAUGAAAGUUGGUAACACCCGAAGCCGGUGGCCUAACCGUUGUGGGGGAGCCGUCGAAGGUGGGACUGGUGAUU